GGAGAGAUGGCCGAGUUGGUUAUGGCGCCAGGUUAAGGUUACUCUUAACAUUGUUUCCUGGUCACGAAAGUGGCGCGAGUUCGAGUCUCGCUCUCUUCA
RNAcentral lists this transfer RNA (99 nucleotides) under Heterodermia speciosa. It matches the Rfam family "tRNA". Rfam says of the family: Transfer RNA (tRNA) molecules are approximately 80 nucleotides in length. Their secondary structure includes four short double-helical elements and three loops (D, anti-codon, and T loops). RNAcentral also lists the same sequence under 1 other name. Lineage: Eukaryota; Fungi; Ascomycota; Lecanoromycetes; Caliciales; Physciaceae. The record is from Rfam by way of RNAcentral.